Molecule: microRNA precursor, 106 nt
Filed under: Canis lupus familiaris (dog)
Lineage: Eukaryota; Metazoa; Chordata; Mammalia; Carnivora; Canidae
Also listed under: 1 other name
Description: mir-8834 microRNA precursor family
Rfam family: mir-8834 microRNA precursor family
Source: Rfam by way of RNAcentral
AGGAGGAACAACCCCAGUGGCAGCGGCCAGCUCCCCAGCCCUGGAGUCAGCUCCCGCAGUAACUACAGGGCUCUCUGUCUGCAGGGCCUGGAGGCUCUGGGGCGAG